GAUGAACGCUGGCGGCGUGCCUAAUACAUGCAAGUCGAGCGAACAGACGAGGAGCUUGCUCCUCUGACGUUAGCGGCGGACGGGUGAGUAACACGUGGAUAACCUACCUAUAAGACUGGGAUAACUUCGGGAAACCGGAGCUAAUACCGGAUAAUAUAUUGAACCGCAUGGUUCAAUAGUGAAAGACGGUUUUGCUGUCACUUAUAGAUGGAUCCGCGCCGCAUUAGCUAGUUGUUAAGGUAACGGCUUACCAAGGCAACGAUGCGUAGCCGACCUGAGAGGGUGAGCGGCCACACUGGAGCUGAGACACGGUCCACACUCCUACGGGAGGCAGCAGUAGGGAAUCUUCCGCAAUGGGCGAAAGCCUGACGGAGCAACGCCGCGUGAGUGAUGAAGGUCUUCGGAUCGUAAAACUCUGUUAUUAGGGAAGAACAAAUGUGUAAGUAACUAUGCACGUCUUGACGGUACCUAAUCAGAAAGCCACGGCUAACUACGUG
RNAcentral lists this ribosomal RNA (497 nucleotides) under uncultured bacterium. RNAcentral describes it as "partial 16S ribosomal RNA". It matches the Rfam family "Bacterial small subunit ribosomal RNA", at positions 28 to 507 of the family's 1533-position model. The record is from RNAcentral.